This 90-nucleotide microRNA precursor is filed under the name Mayetiola destructor (Hessian fly). Its description in RNAcentral is "microRNA mir-190". Lineage: Eukaryota; Metazoa; Arthropoda; Insecta; Diptera; Cecidomyiidae. The record is from RNAcentral.
CACCACAUUUGACAAUCAAUAUUUGACAUUUGACGGUCGAUAAUUUGUCAAAUACUGUCAAAUGUCAAAUAUUGAUUGUCAAAUGUGGUG